UACGGGGGGGGUAAGCGUUGUUCGGAAUUACUGGGCGUAAAGGGCUCGUAGGCGGCCAACUAAGUCGGACGUGAAAUCCCUCAGCUUAACUGGGGAACUGCGUCUGAUACUGGAUGGCUUGGAUUUGGGAGAGGGAUGCGGAAUUCCAGGUGUAGCGGUGAAAUGCGUAGAUAUCUGGAGGAAUACCGGUGGCGAAGGCGGCAUCCUGGACCGGCAUUGACGCUGAGGAGCGAAAGCGUGGGGAGCGAACAGG
RNAcentral lists this ribosomal RNA (253 nucleotides) under uncultured bacterium. RNAcentral's name for it is "partial 16S ribosomal RNA". It matches the Rfam family "Bacterial small subunit ribosomal RNA", at positions 524 to 776 of the family's 1533-position model. The record is from RNAcentral.